AGGGGUAUAGCUCAGUUGGUAGAGCGACGGUCUCCAAAACCGUAGGUCGAGGGUUCGAAUCCUUCUGCCCCUGCCA
Molecule: transfer RNA, 76 nt
Filed under: Alphaproteobacteria bacterium
Lineage: Bacteria; Pseudomonadati; Pseudomonadota; Alphaproteobacteria
Also listed under: 3 other names
Description: tRNA-Trp
Rfam family: tRNA
About the family: Transfer RNA (tRNA) molecules are approximately 80 nucleotides in length. Their secondary structure includes four short double-helical elements and three loops (D, anti-codon, and T loops). Further hydrogen bonds mediate the characteristic L-shaped molecular structure. tRNAs have two regions of fundamental functional importance: the anti-codon, which is responsible for specific mRNA codon recognition, and the 3' end, to which the tRNAs corresponding amino acid is attached (by aminoacyl-tRNA synthetases). tRNAs cope with the degeneracy of the genetic code in two manners: having more than one tRNA (with a specific anti-codon) for a particular amino acid; and 'wobble' base-pairing, i.e. permitting non-standard base-pairing at the 3rd anti-codon position.
Source: RNAcentral